UACGAAGGGUGCGAGCGUUAUUCGGAAUGAUUGGGCGUAAAGGGUGCGCAGGCGGUAUGUUAAGUCAAUUGUUAAAUUCUUCGGCCUAACCGGAGGUAUGCAAUAGAUACUGAUGUACUAGAGGGUGGAAGAGAGAAGCGGAAUUCUCGGAGUAGCGGUAAAAUGCGUAGAUCUCGAGAGGAACACCGAUGGCGAAGGCAGCUUCUUGGUCCAUUUCUGACGCUCAUGCACGAAAGCGUGGGGAGCAAACAGG
Molecule: ribosomal RNA, 253 nt
Filed under: uncultured bacterium
Lineage: Bacteria
Description: partial 16S ribosomal RNA
Rfam family: Bacterial small subunit ribosomal RNA
Source: RNAcentral